This 465-nucleotide ribosomal RNA is filed under the name uncultured bacterium. RNAcentral's name for it is "partial 16S ribosomal RNA". It matches the Rfam family "Bacterial small subunit ribosomal RNA", at positions 28 to 507 of the family's 1533-position model. The record is from RNAcentral.
GACGAACGCUGGCGGCGUGCUUAACACAUGCAAGUCGAACGGAAAGGCCCCUUUGGGGGUACUCGAGUGGCGCACGGGUGAGUAACACGUGAGUAACCUGCCCUUGACUUCGGGAUAACUUCAGGAAACUGGGGCUAAUACCGGAUAGGAAUCCUUGCUGCAUGGUGGGGGUUGGAAAGCUUCGGCGGUUUUGGAUGGACUCGCGGCUUAUCAGCUUGUUGGUGGGGUAGUGGCUUACCAAGGCUUUGACGGGUAGCCGGCCUGAGAGGGCGACCGGCCACAUUGGGACUGAGAUACGGCCCAGACGCCUACGGGAGGCAGCGGUGGGGAAUAUUGCACAAUGGGCGGAAGCCUGAUGCAGCAACGCCGCGUGCGGGAUGACGGCCUUCGGGUUGUAAACCGCUUUCAGCAGGGGCGAAGCUUGUGGUGACGGUACCUGCAGAAGAAGCACCGGCUAACUACGUG